CUCGUGAAGACGUUGUUUCAAACGGUGUCUUCGUUGCAAGCUAACGUGGAGGUACACAACAAGUAAUAAUAUAUGCAUGCAUAGUGUUGCUUCAACCGCUUUAUUAUGGUUCUGUAGAUUCGAACACUAGACUAGCUAGUUCAUGUAGCAUCGGUUCGUUUCUAGACGCAGAUUACAUAAUGCAUUAGACAG
Molecule: long non-coding RNA, 192 nt
Organism: Corticium candelabrum
Lineage: Eukaryota; Metazoa; Porifera; Homoscleromorpha; Homosclerophorida; Plakinidae
Exons: 3
Source: RefSeq, a predicted model, not a curated record